CAUUUCGAACGCACAUUGCGGUCCGGGCCCCCCGUGGUUCGGACCUCAUUCGUCUGAGGGUCGUUACGUAACGAAAUAUCGCGUUUGCGUAAUGCAAACGCGGGAUAGCGACGGUAUUCCGCUUCCGUAACUCGCCCGUUAACUCGGGCGUGGCGAGGACACUAGUUGCGGACGUUGACCUAGUUACCAGCCAGGUUGCUCCUACCAUGCACCCCUCUGUCGUUCCGUGCUUUGCCUCUAAUGGCGCGCGGCUGGACGGUCCGGGUUAGGCGGAACACGCGGGUAAACCGCUCAAGUGUUUCUGACCAGUAAAUCCCUACGGAUCGACCGGUGAAGGCAGUGUGGGCUCGUGGAUGUGUGUAACCCCGAAGGCUUCUGGCGGGAUAGGCUUGAAAAAGCGCCUCUGGCGUGUGCCGGCGCGGUCUCCCGUUACAUAAAGGAAUGUCCUUUUCAAAGCAAAACCCUGCAAGUCUUCUGACAGACUUUUCGACCUCAGAUCGAGUGAGACUACCCGCUGAACU
Molecule: ribosomal RNA, 521 nt
Filed under: Ophiocomina nigra
Lineage: Eukaryota; Metazoa; Echinodermata; Ophiuroidea; Amphilepidida; Ophiocomidae
Description: eukaryotic LSU rRNA
Source: RNAcentral